Molecule: ribosomal RNA, 449 nt
Filed under: uncultured bacterium
Lineage: Bacteria
Description: partial 16S ribosomal RNA
Rfam family: Bacterial small subunit ribosomal RNA
Source: RNAcentral
AGCGAACGCUGGCUGCAGGCCCAACACAUUCAAGUCGCUCGCCGUAGCAAUACGGAGCGGCAGACGGUUGAGUAACGCUUGGGCACGUGCCCUUUAGUUCGGAUUAACCCAGGGAAACUUGGGCUAAUACCGGAUACGCCCUCCGUGGGUAAGAUUUAUCGCUAAAGGAUCGGCCAGCGUAAGAUUAGCUAGUUGGUGAGGUAACGGCUCACCAAGGCUAUGAUCUUUAGCUAUACUGAAGGGAAAAUCAGCCACACUGGGACUGAGACACGGGCAAGACUCGUAAGGGAGGCAGCAGUGGGGGAUAUUGGACAAUGGGCGCAAGCCCGAUCCAGCCAUGCCGGGUGAGUGAUGAAGGCCUUAGGGUUGUAGAGCUCUUUUACCAGGGAAGAUAAUGACGGUACCUGGAGAAUAAGCCCCGGCUAACUUCGUGCCAGCAGCCGCCGGAA